This 424-nucleotide long non-coding RNA is filed under the name Equus caballus (horse). Its description in RNAcentral is "lncRNA (ENSECAG00000048764.1)". Lineage: Eukaryota; Metazoa; Chordata; Mammalia; Perissodactyla; Equidae. The record is from RNAcentral.
GCAGAAGCCAUUCGGGGGCACGAGAGAGAUCCCACCACAGCUCCUGCGGGGCCCUUCCUUCCACCCGCAUUUCUGGGCCUCCACUUAGAACUCCUUGGAUGGUGACCUGCGCAUCCCGGGAGAAACUUUGUUAACGACUUAUGUGCACCUGGUUUGGGUCAGAAUUAAACAGCCACGCUGAACACCGUGCCCUUGUGGAAUGACAAAUUGAUAUGCUUAAAAGAUGCCUGUGGACAACUGGUUGAGAUCCUGAUCGAGGUUCGUCGUUCUUUACAACGAGACGAAGGCAUGGACUCGGAUGGUUCAACCAUCUACUUGCACGCUUCAGUGAAGCAAGGUGCCUUAUUGGAGAGGUCCACACGGCAAGGAUCUGAGGGCAGCGCCUGGCCAACAGCCAACAAGGACAGAAGCCCUCAGUUCAACA